RNAcentral lists this ribosomal RNA (255 nucleotides) under uncultured bacterium. RNAcentral describes it as "partial 16S ribosomal RNA". It matches the Rfam family "Bacterial small subunit ribosomal RNA", at positions 15 to 244 of the family's 1533-position model. The record is from RNAcentral.
GAUCCUGGCUCAGGACGAACGCUGGCGGCGUGCUUAACACACGCAAGUCGAACGAAAAGAGGGAAAGAGCUUGCUCUUUCCGGAAUUGAGUGGCAAACGGGUGAGUAACACGUAAACAACCUGCCUUCAGGAUGGGGACAACAGACGGAAACGACUGCUAAUACCGAAUAAGUUCCAAGGGCCGCAUGGCCCAUGGAAGAAAAGGUGGCCUCUACCUGUAAGCUAUCGCCUGAAGAGGGGUUUGCGUCUGAUUAG